This 13758-nucleotide long non-coding RNA is filed under the name Lynx pardinus (Iberian lynx). The stretch from base 10041 to 10113 matches the Rfam family "tRNA". The record is from RNAcentral. Lineage: Eukaryota; Metazoa; Chordata; Mammalia; Carnivora; Felidae.
CGCAGUCAGAAAAGUAGAGGACCGGCCAAUACCGACAGAUUCUGUCCGGUAUUGAGCCGGGGCUUGAUGGAGCCCAGGAGACCUCUGGGAGUGUUAAACCAGCCAAGGAGUGCGCAGGCGCAGACUUUCUGGCUCGCCAUGGUCGUCUUUGUCUGCCGGUGAGUUUGGUUUCGGCUUCGCAAAGCGCAGAUCUGGGCGUGGGACCUGGGUUUCUGGGCUCAGAAUCUGGUCAGGGAGGCUGUAGGGGAGGAUUCUUGGAGAUUGCGACGUGGCUGGAGAGGCUAAAGGGGAGGAAUCGCCUUCUAUGACGUGCAUUGUUCAAAGCCUAUGUGGAUGGGGGCAGGGGUACUGGGGGAAACUGGGGCGGGACCGCGGCGGGGUGGGGGUGGGGGUAUGACGGAAUGUAUGAGAUUGUUGUAGAGGUACCACUUGUGUGAGAACUCUGUGGUUCCAAGUGUGUGAGAAUGGAUGGCAUUGUGAGCUUUAUGGGGUAGUAACCUCAACCUCACUUUUCUCGUUUCUAAAAUAACUAAUAAAGAUGCAUCUUUCUGGAGCAUCCGUUUUUCUGAAAGAAAGGAAAAUGGCUAAGAUAUAGAGAUAAGUAAUUUUUAAAGCGAUUUUUAUAUAAAAGCAGACUCAUUGUGCAGUAGAAAACAAAAUUAGUAUUAACAAUUUUUUAAAGUAAACAUUUCCGGAAAACUUGUUUCUAGAUGUCUAGACUCCCCCUAUGUAUUGACUCAGUUCUUUGGAGGAACUUUGGUGAGGCCAAUUUGAAAAGCCCUGGACUAAGGAAGAGCUUUAAGAGCUAGUUUCCACUAGCGUAGACAGCACAGAAUUGGGAAGGAUGAUGUCCUGUCUUUGGUUCAGAGAUGUCAGGUAACAGAUUUAAGAUUCUCUUGUUUCUCAGUGACAUGGCAGUGACUCGUAAUUUGACCAGGUUUUCCCUAGACCAAAGGUUGGCCUUUGUAAAUGUAGCGAAACAAAUUUUCUUCUAAAAUGACACUUCCUUCUAGUAUUGUAUCGCGCUUAACAUAUUUUUCAGUAAAAUGAAAAAGAACCAUGGUACAAAAAUGCAUAUACACAAAUAAUAGCUUUGGUACAUACAAAAAUGUAAUCAGUAAUAGUUAUGAAGACAGUAAUUACAAUAGUGACAAAUCAGAUAAAACACCUAAGGAAUAAAUAAGAAAUGUAUAAAAAUCUAUAUGAAGAUUAUUCUUUAGUGUUAAUGAAAGACCCAAAAUAAGACUUGACCAAAUGGAAAUACAUAUGUUACAUUUUAAAAAUCUUCAAGGGGCGCCUGGGUGGCGCAGUCGGUUAAGCGUCCGACUUUGGCCAGGUCACGAUCUCGCGGUCCGUGGGUUCGAGCCCCGCGUCGGGCUCUGGGCUGAUGGCUCAGAGCCUGGAGCCUGUUUCCGAUUCUGUGUCUCCCUCUCUCUCUGCCCCUCCCCCGUUCAUGCUCUGUCUCUCUCUCUCUCCCAAAAAUAAAUAAAAAAACGUUGAAAAAAAUUAAAAAUAAAAAUAAAAAUCUUCAAGCUAUUUUGUGAAGAAAGUGUGCCUGUUUGGUGCAAUAUACUACUUUUUUAGUGGGUGGGAAAAAGAAUGUGUAUUCAUAGGUGCAUGAAGAAACUUUUAUCUAUAUGAAGAUUAUUCUUUAGUGUUAAUGAAAGCCCUUUUGAAAUUUACACAAAAAAAUAACGGUUGUCAGAGGAGGGAGAUGCAAUAGUUAGGGCAGGGGUAAGAAUCACAGUUUUGCUUGCCUGUGUUGUAUAUUUCCAUUUUUAACGGAUGGAGGGAUUCAAUUUCUGUGUUCAGUCCAUUACUUUCCAGAUGUUUAUCACUGCCUCAUUCUUGAAUGUUUCCUUGACUUCCAUUACACUACUCUCAUUUGUAUAAUUCCAGUCAAAACCAAGGAAUAACCUCCCCCUCAAAAAAAAAGCUCCAUUAGUGACUUAAUGUUUCUGUUUGUCCCUUAGCUAUUAGUGUUCCUAAGUUUCUGAAUUAUCUUUUUUUUCUUUUCCCCCUCUAAGAACAAAAUUCCACUGCUGUGGCUUCACUUGACAGGUGACUAACAAAUGUCCAUUCAUAGUUGAGCUCUGUCCAAUUUGCUAAUGGACAGCUCCACCUUGAGGCUACACCGGAACUUCACGCUCUUUGUGUCCAAAAUGUUAAUUCUGGUAUCUCCGCCUCCUAUGGUUUGCCUCCAUCCAUUCCCCUUUGCAUUACCUGUUUCAUCAAUUAGUAACACUGUGCAGCCAGAUUUUAAGCCUCUUAUAUCUGAGUCAGGGAAGAGCUGAGUAAUUUUGACUUUUGUCAUUCAUUCUCCAUUACAUAUUGGAGGCCUAGAUUUCUUUUUUUUUUCCCCCUUAAUGUUUAUUUAUUUUGAGGGGGGUAAGUAGAGAGGCAGAGGGAGAGGGAGAGAGAAUCCCAAGCAGGCUCCAUGCUGUCAGCACAGAGCCCAAUGUGGGGCUCCAUCUCACAAACCAUGAGAUUAUGACCCGAGGUGAGAUCAAGAGUCUAACACUUAACUGACUUAGCCACCCAGGCACCCUGACAAAAAUGUUUUUAUUGGGGAAAAUGAUAUUCAAAACUGUGACUCUUUAAUCAGGAGCAAGGCCACAAGUGACACUUGCACAGGUUGUGAUUCUGUAGAACUUUAACAACUCAGUCUUGUAAUUUCUCUGUAUAACCUAAAUUCUGAAAAAUAAAUAACCUAAAUUCUGUUUCCCAUUCCUGAAAUGUGUGGAGGCUUUAAAUGGCAUAAUGGGUUUGGCUGAGGAUGCAAAGUGUAAAUGCUCUUUUUCAAUGUGCUUAUGUGUAUGUGUGUGCUCCAGCUUCUAAGCCAAAAGGUCAUCAUUACUUUGCUCUUUUUCAUAGACCAGUUUCCUUGUGCAUCCCCAGGAACUGCACUUCCUUUACCCAUCAAAUCCUUUAAGGAUCCUUUGGUCUCAGCCUGAAUUAUGGGAUUCUGCUUUGACCCUCAAGAGUAAUGUCCAAGUCCUGUGUCACUGUUUAGAAGUUUAAAGACACCAGUUUAAACAAGAAGAGCAAUGAAUAACUGAGGAAGAAAUGUAAAGGAGGUGCUUUCCAGGUGAGUAAGAAGGAACCCAGAAGGAUGAAUGGGAUAAAGGUUCAUUAAGUUAUUUUUUUAUGAUGUAUCUUUUUUUUUUAAAUGUUUAUUUGUUUUUGAAAGAGAGAGUGUGCACAUGGGGAGGGCAGAGAGAGGGAGACAGAGGAUCCAAAGCAGUUCCACACGGACAGCAGAGAGCCUGAUGUGAGGCUUGAACUCAAACCAGAGAUCAUGACCUAAGCCAAGGUCAGAUGCUUAACCACCCAGGCACCCCUCUUAUAGUUACUCAAACUGCGACCUCUGAAAAAAUUUUUGAGGCAAGUUUUUUUAUAAGCCCAUUGGAGUAACAGUUGCUGGGAAUUCUUUAGAUACCUAAAUAACAUUUCCAGAUUCUCUUGCUUGAUCAUGCUCUUUUUUUUUCUCAGAUUCUGGGGGACUGCUUGCCCCUGUAACCUCUAUUCUGGAUGCUAGCCUCUUUACUUCAUUUGCAGUCUCAAUUUUAUAAAUUGUCUAGCCUAAAUAUUGUGUUUUCCCUUUCACUAACAUUUUAUUUCUCCCCACUUCCAUCUUAGAGUUGAAUAUUACCCCUUAUCAUUAUUUCUUAUUCCCUUCCUACCUACUAUCAUAGCACAUUUCUCACUCUCUUGCUUUUUAACAAUAUAGCAGGCUAGGAAAUUAGUGCUGACUUCCUACUAGUUCACAUCUCUGUUACUCUUUAAAAAUAAUACUAUCAUCUUUAAAAUCCAAUACAUAUACUUAAUAGAAAAUUAAGGGGCGCCAGGGUGGCUCAUUCGGUUAAGCAUCCGACUCUUGGUUUCAGCUCAGGUCAUGAUCUCGCAGUUUGUGAGUUCGAGCCCUACAUCAGGCUCUGCACUGACAGCUUGACGCCUGCUUAGGAUUCUUUCUCUCUCUCUCUCUCUGUCUGCCCCUCCCCCACUUGCUCAAUCAGUCUCUCUCAAAAAUAAACAACAACAAAAAAGUUUUUUAAGAAAAUUAAAGAAUGGUUCCUCAAUCCUGGCCCUCGGUUCUCCAUUUCUGUUCCCCAGAAGCAGCCACUAUUAAAUGUGCUUUCUUCUAAAUGUUUUUAUGAGUAUACAAGGAGGCUUUAACAAUGACAUGAUUUGACUAUGACAAGAAUACUGUUGUUGCUGUGUUGAGAGAAGUUAUAUAAAGAGGCAAAGGCAAAAGUAGGAAGAAUAGUGAGGAGUCUAUUAAAUAAUACAGGGAAGACAUAAUGUGGCUUAGACUUUGGUGGUCCUAGUGAGAAUUAUGAGAAAUGGCCAGAUGCUGACUGUAUUUUGAAGAUAAAGCCAAGAGGAUGUGGAAACAUAAUGGGUGUGUUACCUAGGAGAGAGUUGUUCAAGGCUUGAGCUCAAGCCUUGAACAACUGAGAAAAUAAGGUUGUUAUUUAACGAGAUGAGAAGAAUUUGGGUGUUGGUUUGGGAGAACAAGGGUUUGAUUUGGGGCAGGGUAAAUUAGAUCCGUAUUAGACAUCUAAGUGCAGAUUUUGAGUAGCAAGUGGUUAUGUGAAUCAGUUGAGGAAAGAGGUCCAGUCUAGUGAUUAAAUAUUUUCAAAAUAUAUAUCAGAAUGCUCAAAUGUCAACCAAACUCUUAAAUGUAUUCUGUGAAAAUGGUGACCUGUUAGAGCAGGAGUUGGCAAACUACAUCCUACUAUGUAUUUUUGUAAGGAGUUUUACUGAAACAUGGCCAUGUUCAGUGCAUCUCGUCCAUUCAUUUUCUUAUGGUCUGUUACUACUUUCAUGCUACGGUGUCCAAGUUGAGUAGGUAUCUACAGAUACAUGAUAUUGUAAAGCAUUAGACAGGACUAAAAAGUAUAUCAAUCAUGGUAAAGCUAAGUGACUAUAAUAAACCCCAAAAUGUACUGGUUUAAGGAAUAUAAGAAUUGAUUUCCUGGUCACAUAACAGUUAUGUGGUGAGUAAUGAAGAUUUGCAUGGUAGCUUUGGUCUUUGUGAUCCUUUAAAUGAUCCAGAUUUCCUCCAGGUUCUGUUGAUCAUUAGUUGUGGUUGAAACGGGUCAACAGUGCAUCCUAGUUCCACCCAAGUAGAGAAGGGAGAAAUGACCACUGUAGGGCAAGAGGCCAGUAAACUUUCUGUAAAUGUCCAGGUAGCAAAUACUUCAGGUUUUGUAGGUCCUAGGAUCUCUGCUGCAGCUACUCAAGUCGGGCAUUAUAGCACAAAAAUAGUUUCCUUAGGAUUAGAGUAUUUUGACUUCUAUUUUGAAAAUAUUUGGGGGGGGGGCACCUGGGUGGCUGAGUCUGUUAAGCAAGCAGCUGACUCUUAGUUUCGAGUCAGGUCUUGAUCUCACAGUUUGUGAGUUUGAACCCUGCAUCAGGCUCUGUGCUGACUGUGCAGAACCUGCUUGGGAUUCUCUCUCUCUACUGUCUCUCUGACCCUCCCCCACUUGCGCUAUCUCUGUCUCCCUCAAAAUAAAUAAAUAAACUUUAAAAAAAUAUAUAAGAUGUGUUAAUUACCAAGAUGUCAUUUCUGUGUUUUCUUUAGUUAGGAAUAUAGUGGGCUAAGUCCUAAUCUGUUCUACAUCGUACUUUUGCAAAUAUAAUGAAUUUAAGAAUUGGAAAAUUUUAAAUAAAUGUUAUUACUGUUCAUUUGUAAAAGUUUAGUAAAUUCCACAUCUUGAACCAUCUAUUGGGGUGAUAAAAUAACAAUGGUCUCUUUUUUUCUAUAUCUACUUUACUGUUUAGGUUUCUUGUCUUUUCUGGUCUCAGUUUUCAUAGGUAAUAUUUGGUUUUCAAAUUUGUUUGUAUGGAGGUGAGCAAAUAAUCUCUACAGUCCUUUUCUGUCUAUGGUUAUUUCCAAGUAAUCAUUUUUUUAUUUUUAUAAUUUUGCUGUUAUUCCUCUUUAGUUUUUCCCUAAGAAUCAACUUGUGGAUUUAUUAUUUCUAAUUUUGUUUGUAAUAAUUAAUUUUUCUUAUCUGUACUUUUUUUUCUUACAUUUACUUUUCCUUAUUGUAAUUCCUUGGUUUGAAUGCUUAUUUUAUUAUGUUAUUUCUUUUUAUUUUUUUUAAAGCUUAUUUAUUUAUUUUGAGAGAGCGAGCUCACGCACACAAGCAGGGGAGAAGCAGAGAGAGAGAGGGAGAGAGAGAAUCCCAAGCAGGCUCUGUGCUGUCACUGCAGAGCCUGAUGCAGGGCUAGAUCUCACAAACCAUGGGAUCAUGACCUGAGUUGAAAUCACCCAGGUGCCCUAUGUUAUUUCUUUUUAGAAUAAUGUAAACAUAUAUGUUAAAACUUAUCCAAGCAUUUUUUUCAAAUGUGUUCUAUAGGCUCUGAUAUACAUUGUUUUUGAAUUUUUCUGAAUAUUUCUGAAUGCUUUGCAAUUUAUUUUAAUUUUAUCUUUGACCAAAGUGUUUGUUCAAGCCAGUAUAUUUUGAAAUUUACAAGUGAGGGGUGCUUGGGUGGCUCAGUCAGUUAAGCAUCCAAUUUCAGCUCAGGUCAUGAUCUCACGGUUCGUGGGUUUGAGCCCAGCAUCAGGCUCUAUGCUGACAGCUUGGAACCUGGAGCCUGCUUUGGAUUCUGUCUCUCUCUCUCUCUGCCCCUGCCCUGCUUGUGCUCUCUUUCUCAAAAAUAAACAUUAGGGGCGCCUGGGUGGCGCAGUCGGUUAAGCGUCCGACUUCAGCCAGGUCACGAUCUCACGGUCCGUGAGUUCGAGCCCUGUGUCGGGCUCUGGGCUGAUGGCUCAGAGCCUGGAGCCUGUUUCCGAUUCUGUGUCUCCCUCUCUCUCUGCCCCUCCCCCGUUCAUGCUCUGUCUCUCUCUGUCCCAAAAAUAAAUAAAACGUUUAAAAAAAAAAUAAAUAAAUAAACAUUAAAUUUUUUUUUUAAUUUGAAAUUUACAAGUGAAAAUUUCCUUUUUUCUAAUGUAUUUUUUUAAUGUUUAUUUAUUUUGAGAGACAGAAGUGAGAGAGAGUGCACGUGCACAUGCACACAAGCAGGGAAGGGGCAGAGAGAGAGGGCUGAGAGAGAAUCCCUAGCAGGCUCUGUGCUGUCAGUGCCAGAGCUUGAUGUAGGGCUCAGUCUCAUGAACCAGUGAGAUCAUGACCUGAACUGAAAUCAAGAGUCAGUCACUUAACCAACUGAGCUACCCAGGCACCCUGUUUUAGAUGUGUACCUUACAGAGAGUUUAGGUAGGUUUUAUUAUGUCAUUUGUUAAACCUUCGCGUGUGUCAAAAUCAUCUAGAGGGCUUGUUAAAUACAGAUUGCUGGGCCUUACCUGCAGGUUUUCUUGAUUCAGGAGGUAUGUGUUGGAGCCUGAGAAUUAUCUGUAUGAGCCUGUCAUAGUCUUUUUCUUUUAAUAGUUCUUUUUUUCCUAGUUGUAUUUAUUGACAGGAACAGAAUGGUUAGUAUUGGUUCUUUUAUUUAAUAUUAUGUAUUCUGUUUUAAAUUUGACCUCAUCUUUUUUAUCCUUUACUAUAGGAUCUUUGAUUUCCUUGAGUACAUAUGCCUUUCCUUCUGAAAAUAAUGGAAAGUUUGUUAUAUUUUAUUAUAAUAAUUAUUUUGUUAUAUUCUCUUGGUUGCCUUUAUAUUCAUAACUUUCUUAGUCUUUGUCUUCCAUUUCUUCAGGUACUAUACUCCUCACUAAGGAAUGACGUAUAUUUUAUACUUUAGUGUAUUUUUAGUCUCCCUCCUCUCUUUCCCACACUGUUGGUAAUUGUGAUUAUUAUUUCAGUUUUAAAUAGUAUCAGUUGUACCCUUCUUCCCUCCCCAUUCAUAUAUAUGAAAUUAUUUGCAUCUUCGCCUUUGAUUGUGCAGUGAGCCAUCUAUCAAAGUCCUAUCCAUCAUUUACCCUUGGGUUUCAUUUUUAUUAAAAUGUCCCUUCAUUAUCACUUUUAGCCCAGUAUCUCUAAUCUUCUAUUCCCAUAGCAUAUUAUAGUUUCCAGAGCAACUUGAAUUCUAAGUAUAUGCUCUCUUACAUUUGUAUUUUUCCCUUUCAUGUUUAAGACCUACAUUGAAGCUCAUUGAGACAAAAGCUGGUAUUUUACCCUUGUUAUCUGCAGUCUUAAGCACAAAGAAGAUGAUUAAUAAAUAACUGGUGAUUGUUGUAGAGCUUCAGGUGUGGAAAGAUUUACUUUUUCAGCUUUAUUGAGGUAUAAUUUCCAUAAAAGUCAACCCCUUUAGUAUAUUAUUUGAUAAAUUUGGUAAUUGUAUACAGUCAUAAAACCAACACCAAAACCAACAUAUAGAACAGAUCCAUCAACAGUUCUUUGUGCCCUUUUGCUAUAGAGCCAUACCCCUCCCCCAUCCCUGGUGAUCACUAAUUGGCUUUAUGUUACUAGGACUUGCCAUUUCUAGAAUUCAUAUAAAUGUAGUCAUUCACUGCAUAAUCUUUAGCAUUUAAUUUCUUUGAUUUAGUUUUACAUUUUUGAGAUUAAUUCAUGUUAUGUAUAUGAAUUUUCAUUUUUUAUUGCUGAUUAUUAUUAUAAGUAUGGACAUAAUUUGUCAUUGAUAGACAUUUAGAUUACUUCCAUUUUUGACUAUUAUGAACAUUCAUAUACUAGGUCUUUGUGUCAACAUAUAUGUUCAUUUUUCUUGAAUAAAUGCCUAGAAAUGGGAUUGCUGCACAGAAUAAGUAUAUAUUGAACUUUAUAAAAUACUCAGAUUAUGUUCCAAAGUAGCUGUAUCAUUUUUCACUCCCACCUACAGUUUUUUGAGAGAUAGUUGCUUCGCAUUCUUACACUUGGAAUGGCAGUUUUUUAAAUUUUAGCCAUUUUAAUGGGUGUGUAAUGUAUCUCACUGGGAUUUUAAUAUGCAUUUCUGAUCACUAGUUUGGAUGAACGUCUAAUGUACUUAUUGGCCAUUCAUAUAUCUGAUUUUGUGAAUAUCUUUUCUAGUCUCUUACCCAUUUUAUAAAUUAGAUUACCUUUUUUUUACUGAGAUUUAGGAGUUCUAUAUAUUUUGGAUAUGAGCCCUUCAUCAGUUUCUACCAGUCUGGCUUUUCUUUUUUUUAACUGUGUUUUUGAAGGGCAUUAGUUUUUUAUUUUGAUUAAGUCUACCAUUUUUUCUUUAUAAAAGAAAUAGUUUUAACACUUAUGUUGAGGUCUUUAAUUCAUUUUGAGUAAAUUUUUGCCUAUGGCAUGCAGUAAAGGUUGAGGGUUUUUGUUUUCUGAUUUUAGAAAUUAUAGCAUUGAUGUGAGUGACAGUAUAUUACUAGAGUCAGCUCUUGCAGUGAUUUAUAAGAAAAUGAGGAGGCAUGCCUGGCUGGCUCAGUUGGUACAGCAUACAAGUCUUGAUCUCAGGUUUGUAAGUUUGAGCCCCAUGCUGGUUGUAGAGAUUACUUAAAAGUAAAAUCUUAAAAAAAAAAAAAAGAAAAAGAAAAUGAGGAUAAAAGUUUGAGAGGGACAGGACAGAUCAGGAUAACAUUGAAGAUUUGCAGCCAGUAGAAAACAUUUAUAAAAGAAAGGAUUGAGAGUGAGGACAAGACAAGAGCUCUUCACAAAAGAAGAGCUUUGGUGCCAGUCAUUUCAGGCACAAUGAUAGAAAGAAAACAAAUGAAAACUGAAAUUGAGGGCAACGACAGUUUCUGUAUCUAGAAAUGAUAGUAUCAAUAAUCAAAACACUGCAGUAAAUCAGAUUUCAAGGCAAAAAUGGCUGUUUUCUGGCCUAUUUUACUUUUUUUCAUUAAUAUGUACUUUGCUGUUUAGCCAUGUGAAACUUAACUGCAACUAGAUAAAAAGAGUACUAUCUAUAGUUACUAUACGAUUAUAGAUCAGUUCAGGUUAAAAGGCUCAAGUCUUCAAGGACAUCUCUGCAGGUAUAACAUGUAGGGGCUUUUAAAAAUGAAAUAGGAUUAUAGUUAUGCUUGCACCAUCCUUCGUCACCCACAGUUCCUCCUCCACAUAGGCAACCACUUUCAACUCAAUAAACUGGUGUUUAUUCUCACAUUUUAUGCAUCUAUUUUACCUACUUUUGAUUUAACCAUUUUACAAUAUUAUCAGCUUGGGGAUGCCUGGCUGGCUUAGUUGGUAGAGCACGCGACUCUUGAUCUCGGGUUUGUAAGUUCAAGCCCCACUCUGGGUGUAGAGAUUACUUAAAAAUAAAAUCUUUUGGGGUGCCUGGGUGGUUCAGUCAAUUGUGGGUCCGACUUCGGCUCAGGUCAUGAUCUCCUGGUUCAUGGGUUUGAGCCCUGCAUCAGGCUCUGUGCUGAUAGCUCAGAGCCUGGAGCCUGCUUUGGAUUCUGUGUCUCCCUCUCUCUCUGCCCCUCCCCUGCUUGUGCUUUCUCUCUCUCUCAAAAAUAAAUAAACAUUAAACUACAUUUUUGUUCUUUUUUAAUUUCUUUUUUUUUUUUUUAACAUUUAUUCAUUUUUUGAGAGACAGAGAGAGACAGAGCAUGUGUGGGGAAGGGGCAGAGAGAGAGAGAAACACGGACUCCAAAGCAAGCUCCAGGCUCUGAACUGAUAGCACAGAGCCCAAUGUGGGGCUUGAACCCAUGGACCGUGAGAUCAUGACCUGAGCCAAAGUUGGACCCGCAACCAACUGAGCCACCCAGGUGCCCCUAAACUACAUUUAAAAAAAUAAAAAUAAAAUCUUUUGAAAAUAAAAUCUUUUAUACAUACAGAAUUUUAUAUAUUAUAUGUAUAUAAAUAUAUAUAUGAUCAACUUGUUAACAUGAAAGAUGGAAUUUAGAAAUUUUCCUGUAUUAAUUUUUCUUCAUAUUUUCUCUGGAACUCCUUUAGGAGAUCUUGAACCUCUUAGACGCCUCCACUAACCCGCUAAUUUUCUAAUCAUUAUUUCUUUCUCCCUUCCUUCUUUCCAUUCUUCCUUUUUUUUUUUUUUUUAAAUUAUUCUGGGAGAUUUCCUGGAAUUUUUUCCCCUAAGCUGUUGAAUUUUUUAGUUCAACAUAUUUCUUAUUUGCAAAAGCACUUCUUUAUAGAACUCUGUUGAUAGGGGUGCCUGGGUGGCUUAGUUGGUUAAGCAUCCGACUUCAGCUCAGAUCAUGAUCUCUCAGUCCAUGAGUUUGAGCCCCAUGUCGGGCUCUGUGCUGGCAACUCAGAGCCUGGAGCCUGCUUCAGAUGCUGUGUUUCCCUCUCUCUGCACUCCCCCGUUCACACUCUGUCUCUCUUGCUCUCAAAAAUAAACAUGAAAAAAAAAUUAAAAAAAGAAAAAGAACUCUUGAUAUUUCUGUGUUUUCAGUGCUUCUGUGAUACUAAUUACAGUAUUGUUUAUGUGUGUGUUUCUUUUGUUCCUUUCCUUGUUUUUUCCUAUUUGUUUUGAUCUAGCUUUCACAUUAGGGCUUUCAUCAUUUUUUUUGUGAUCUUUAGCUCUAUGUUAAAAUUUAACAUUGAGGUACCAGAAACACUAUUGUAAUCUUUGUGCAUGGUUGGGGCUUGUAAAAUGGUGGGCUUCACUAUGCAGCAUUUAGUCAGAUAUCUAGAUGAUUCUUUUUUUUUAAAUCUUUUUUUUUUUUUUUUCAACGUUUAUUAUUUUUGGGACAGAGAGAGACAGAGCAUGAACGGGGGAGGGGCAGAGAGAGAGGGAGACACAGAAUCGGAAACAGGCUCCAGGCUCUGAGCCAUCAGCCCAGAGCCUGGCGCGGGGCUCGAACUCACGGACCGCGAGAUCGUGACCUGGCUGAAGUCGGACGCUUAACCGACUGCGCCACCCAGGCGCCCCUAGAUGAUUCUUUUAAAUGACUCCAAAUGUGAAUAUCUGUAAGUGUUUUCAUGACCUUUUCAUUUUUUUCAGUAAAGAACCCUCCCUGGGUGCCUGGGCGGCUCAGUUGGUUGAGUGUGUGAUUUGAUUUCAGCUCAGAUCAUGAACUCAUGGUUUGUGAGUUUGAGCCCCGCAUGCGGCUCCGUGCUGUCCAUGUGGAGCCUGCUUGGGAUUCUGUCUCUGCCCCUUGUGUGCCCUCUUUCUCCCUCUCUCUCAGAAUAAACAAAAAUAAGGAAGGAAGGAAGGAAGGAAGGAAGGAGGGAGGGAGGGAGGGAGGGAAGGAAGGAGGGAAGGAAGGAGGGAGGGAGGGAAGGAAGGAAGGAAGGAAGGAAGGAAGGAAGGGAAGAGGGAAGGAAGGAGGGAAGGGAGAGAGGGAAAAAGGAAGNNNNNNNNNNNNNNNNNNNNNNNNNNNNNNNNNNNNNNNNNNNNNNNNNNNNNNNNNNNNNNNNNNNNNNNNNNNNNNNNNNNNNNNNNNNNNNNNNNNNNNNNNNNNNNNNNNNNNNNNNNNNNNNNNNNNNNNNNNNNNNNNNNNNNNNNNNNNNNNNNNNNNNNNNNNNNNNNNNNNNNNNNNNNNNNNNNAGAAUAAAAAAAAAGAAGGAAGGAAGGAAGGAAGGAAGGAAGGAAGGAAGGAAAAAGAAACCAACCCAUCUAUUGUUUGACACCACCAACCACCAGCAUUUCUAAAGAGCAGCAGUAGAAAGGGGUUGGAACCCUAUUCUACAUAGGAAUUUUUACUCCCUCUUUUCAGUAUCUACUUUGCCUAUCAUCACUAAGUUUGGAGGCUCCUGGUUAUACUUUGGAUAAUAAAUUCCUAUGUCCUUCCAGUUAGGAGAAUUAGGUACAUAAGCUGCUGCUUUUAUAAUCAUUGUAUAAGUUCCACCUUCUACUCUUACCCAGUCACUCCAGUUAUAGAGCCUUUGUGUUGACAGCUGUAUCACAAAUUACCUUGCUUCUAGGUAGCAUCCUCUUUUGCUGGCUUUUUAUUUAAGCCACUUGAUUCUGCUGUUAAUUUAUAGUUCUUUAUUUGCUUUCCUUUCAAAAUUUCCUAAAUCUUUUCAUCCACCGGUGUCUUCUCAACCUCUGCAGUGUUUAUGAGUAUAUUCCCUUCAUCCUCGUACUAUCAUUUGAAUGGAGUUUCAGGAAGAUACAGAAUAAAUAUCUUAUUUAACCGUAUGUCCUCUUUAAUAAUUCUAUUUAUUUUAUUUUUUAUCCUUUCAUCUUAGGCUCUCCCAAUCUUAUGUGUUUGUUUUUUCAUCCUGUUUGUUACCUGUUCUUUAUAUUUUAUUUUACUGAUUUAUAAAAUGCAAAAGUUACAUUUAAAAACAAUUUGAGCAGGGUGCCUGAGUGGCUCAGUUGGUUAAGCCUCCCAACUCUCGACUUCGGCUCAUGUCAUGUUCUCACAGUUCAUGGGUUCGAGCCCCACGUUGGGCUCUGUGCUGAUGGUGCAGAGCCUGCUUGGGAUCCUCUCUCUUUCCCUCUCUCUCUGUCCUUCCCCGGCUCGUGUGCACACUCCCCCUCUCUCUUUCUCAAAAUAAAUAAACUUAAAAAAAUAAUAAAAAUAAAAACAGUUUAAACUACAUGCUCCUGUGAAUGUUAUUUGUAUUUAAGCUUUCUUUUUACUGUGGGACUAGGUUUGAAAUAAAGAGUCUAUUUUACAAUACCACAUUUAAAAAUUUUUGUUAAAAAUACUGGAAAAAAUCACAAGUGUUAGUGUUGAUGAUGAUGAUAGCCACUUUAUUGGAUAUUUACUACAUGCUAGGCACUAAAUAUUUUACAGUUAUUAGCUCUUUUCAAUGAUGAUUUUGUUUUUAUUCCCUUUUAGAAAAGGUCUGGGAAAUUUAUAAAUAGAUGAAGAUUCAUCAUGGAAGACAUGAGAGUUAAGUCUCAUCUUUCUCCAUGAAAAUAUAGUUUAGAAAAAACUCAGAAAACCUGGGCAUAACAGAAAAGUAUUUCCUUUGAGGACAGAUGUUGAUUCUUUACAACUACAUCUCUGUGUAUGAGACUCAGUUUAAG